UACGUAGGGCGCAAGCGUUGUCCGGAAUUAUUGGGCGUAAAGAGCUCGUAGGCGGCUUGUCGCGUCGAUUGUGAAAGCCCGGGGCUUAACUCCGGGUCUGCAGUCGAUACGGGCAGGCUAGAGUGUGGUAGGGGAGAUCGGAAUUCCUGGUGUAGCGGUGGAAUGCGCAGAUAUCAGGAGGAACACCGGUGGCGAAGGCAGGUCUCUGGGCAGUAACUGACGCUGAGGAGCGAAAGCGUGGGGAGCGAACAGG
Molecule: ribosomal RNA, 253 nt
Filed under: uncultured bacterium
Lineage: Bacteria
Description: partial 16S ribosomal RNA
Rfam family: Bacterial small subunit ribosomal RNA
Source: RNAcentral